Molecule: long non-coding RNA, 500 nt
Organism: Hemicordylus capensis (graceful crag lizard)
Lineage: Eukaryota; Metazoa; Chordata; Lepidosauria; Squamata; Cordylidae
Exons: 2
Source: RefSeq, a predicted model, not a curated record
GAGCUGGUUUCCUGAUGGGGGGUGGGGCUGCUUUGGAGGCAUCCGGGUCUUUUAAGGAUCUCAGAUGUAUUGGGCAAGCUCAGAGGGGAACCUUUCUACAAACAAUUAGCAUCUGCACUCUCAGAUUGUGGGAGAGACUUACCGUACAUCUGCAUUUCAGAGAGCAGAAGAUUGUGAACCAAGAUGGCUCUGGGAAGGCCCUUCAGUUUGCAGCUGCAGCAAGGAUACGAUCCACUGGAAAUGCUGACCUGAAUUAUUGGAGAGGCUGUUUCUGUGGGGUGCAGUGCGUACCCUAAGCAUCCGUAGCUUCUUCUGGCUCUUCCUCCAGGGAAAAGGCCUGGAACCUAGGCUAUGUAAUCAGCUGCCAGCAAUAAGAAUAUUUUGAAUAUUAUUGGAGGGCCUGUUUCUCUGGAUUGGCAUCUCUUUCUUCUUCCAGUUUAUUUGAAGUCAUAAGCCUGAUGUACACUUAUCAGAAAUACACACAUUUUUAAGUCCUUUCA